GAUGAACGCUGGCGGCGUGCCUAAUACAUGCAAGUCGAGCGAACGGACGAGAAGCUUGCUUCUCUGAUGUUAGCGGCGGACGGGUGAGUAACACGUGGAUAACCUACCUAUAAGACUGGGAUAACUUCGGGAAACCGGAGCUAAUACCGGAUGAUAUUUUGAACCGCAUGGUUCAAAAGUGAAAGACGGUCUUGCUGUCACUUAUAGAUGGAUCCGCGCUGCUCUAGCUAGUUGGUAAGGUAACGGCUUACCAAGGCAACGAUGCAUAGCCGACCUGAGAGGGUGAUCGGCCACACUGGAACUGAGACACGGUCCAGACUCCUACGGGAGGCAGCAGUAGGGAAUCUUCCGCAAUGGGCGAAAGCCUGACGGAGCAACGCCGCGUGAGUGAUGAAGGUCUUCGGAUCGUAAAACUCUGUUAUUAGGGAAGAACAUAUGUGUAAGUAACUGUGCACAUCUUGACGGUACCUAAUCAGAAAGCCACGGCUAACUACGUG
Molecule: ribosomal RNA, 497 nt
Filed under: uncultured bacterium
Lineage: Bacteria
Description: partial 16S ribosomal RNA
Rfam family: Bacterial small subunit ribosomal RNA
Source: RNAcentral